Long non-coding RNA from Acinonyx jubatus (cheetah), 665 nucleotides. RefSeq lists it as uncharacterized. The transcript is spliced from 3 exons. The record is from RefSeq and is a predicted model, not a curated record. NCBI's taxonomy places the organism in Eukaryota, Metazoa, Chordata, Mammalia, Carnivora, Felidae.
CCGACAAACGCCGGGGAAGCGGAAAGAGCGGGAGCUGGCGUGGGACGGGAGAAGGAAGGCUGGGUGCGUUCCCCUCCUAGAAAGGGUGGGGAAGCAAAACCCUUUGCAGCUCCUGGUUUAGAAGGAUCCUUCGUGGUGGGACGCUGGGUCUGAGGUUCCGGGCACACACAGAGAACAAACCGAGGAGAAAAAAACGCACCCUACCAAUAAAUUAUGGUGAAAGGACCUUGCCUUAGAAAAGGAAAUGCCCAGGCUUCAUCUGAGCCCUGGGAUGGUGGGGGAAGAGUUGUAGGAAACAAAUGGCUUGAGGGGCUUAACACAACCCAGUCUCCGCCCCCCCCCCAACCGGGCUCAAGUCUUGACAACGUUCCUUCCGGUCAGCCUGUCCCCUUGCCACAGUCCAUGAAGUGACACCAUUCUUAAGGCUUCUCAAAAGCACCGUUAUUUCAGUUAAUUCCAGCAAGCUGGACUACACUUAACAUAUGCCCUUUGGUGGAGUGGAGACGACUUGUCUGUCCUGUCCAAGCUUAAAUACCAAGGGAAUGACUUUAAAUCUUGCUGGAUGGAACCGCCACUCACCGCUAGAAAUCGGGGAUCAACAGCGAACUCUGGAUGACCCUGUAACCACAUCUCCAGUUCAGCCCGGCGAGGGGCAUCCUCACCCA